AAUCAACGCUGGCGGCGUGCCUAACACAUGCAAGUCGCACGAGAAAGGGUCUUCGGAUCUGAGUAAAGUGGCGCACGGGUGAGUAACACGUGAAUUAUCUACCUUCGAGUGGGGAAUAACUUCGGGAAACCGAGGCUAAUACCGCAUAAUAUCUACGGAUCAAAGCAGUAAUGCGCUUGAAGAGGAGUUCGCGGCAGAUUAGUUAGUUGGCGGGGUAAUGGCCCACCAAGACGAUGAUCUGUGUCCGGCCUGAGAGGGCGCACGGACACACUGGAACUGAAACACGGUCCAGACUCCUACGGGAGGCGGCAGUGGGGAAUUUUGCGCAAUGAGGGAAACCCUGACGCAGCAACGCCGCGUGGAGGAUGAAGUCUCUUGGGACGUAAACUCCUUUCGAUAGGGAAGAUUAUGACGGUACCUAUAGAAGAAGCCCCGGCUAACUUCGUGCCAGCCGCCGCCGUAA
Molecule: ribosomal RNA, 463 nt
Filed under: uncultured bacterium
Lineage: Bacteria
Description: partial 16S ribosomal RNA
Rfam family: Bacterial small subunit ribosomal RNA
Source: RNAcentral